Molecule: small nuclear RNA, 104 nt
Organism: Microtus ochrogaster (prairie vole)
Lineage: Eukaryota; Metazoa; Chordata; Mammalia; Rodentia; Cricetidae
Source: Ensembl
GUGCUCACUUCUGCAGCACGUGUAUUAACAGCAGAACAGUACAGAGAAGAGCAUGGCCCCUGUGCAAGGACAACAUGAAAAUUCAUGAGGUUUCUAUAUGCUUU